UACAGAGGUCCCAAGCGUUGUUCGGAUUCACUGGGCGUAAAGGGUGCGUAGGCGGUCGGGUAAGUCUGAUGUGAAAUCUCACAGCUUAACUGUGAAACUGCAUUGGAUACUAUCCGGCUCGAGGAAUGGAGGGGAGACUGGAAUACUUGGUGUAGCAGUGAAAUGCGUAGAUAUCAAGUGGAACACCAGUGGCGAAGGCGAGUCUCUGGAAAUUUCCUGACGCUGAGGCACGAAAGCCAGGGGAGCAAACGGG
This 253-nucleotide ribosomal RNA is filed under the name uncultured bacterium. Its description in RNAcentral is "partial 16S ribosomal RNA". It matches the Rfam family "Bacterial small subunit ribosomal RNA", at positions 524 to 776 of the family's 1533-position model. The record is from RNAcentral.